GCAGCGGGGCCUUCAGGCGCGCGGCGGGCGCCAGAGAGCCAGACACAAUAGGGGGGCGUCCCUCAGAGCCCUCCCGCUCCUCCCGCCUCCUGUUCCCGGCACAAAUGGGGCUCCAAAACGCGUUUCUGUACCCUGCGGCGAGAGCCUGCACCGGGGAAGCGCAUCACCGCUGUAAUUGAGCCCUAACAGCCGCAGCUUCAGUCGCCGGGAACAGUUGCUUCAUGUGUCUUUCAGGCUGGGAUUUGCGUCUCCAGAUACGAUCGCUGUAUAUCCUUACGAUCCCCGUGUAACGUGUUUGGUUUUAGUCGUAUCCACGCCAUCAGUGACAUUGAAAGGAAGGAAAAAGCCUAGGUCCUUGAACACCUGGGCCAACCCAUCACCAGAAGGGAGGUGUCUCAUGGCCCUUCCUCACCAAGUCCUUGCCCUUGUUUCCAUCCCGAUUCUUGCUCCUCAGGAGUUAAUUCAAGCUGAUAAUCCAGCAAGAAACUGGUUACUCAAUGGUCAGAUUUCCCCCCUUCAUUCCAUCUAAAUAUUGCUCCCUGUGCUUUCCAUGUAUCCCUGCAUUUUCUGUAGCUUUGUGCAUUUUCAAUGCUUUGUCAUUUUGUAUCAGGUAUUUGCUUUACAAAUCACCUCGUUUUGCAUAACAGGUUAUGGAACAUGUAGUAAAUCACCCAUCUCAAUUAUUUCAGUUGUACAAAUGAAGAAGAAAACAAAAUCUUUAAAUAUUGAAAGUCCUUUUCACUGUUCACCAAAAAGAUUUUGGUAAUACCAUUGUAUUUUCUUAUUUCCACUGUAUUUACAAGAUUUACUUCUCCAAGCCCCAUACAUGGGGGUAGAGAUGACCUUUUUUUUCCCCCCAAGCAAAAUGCUAUUUUUCUGUCAACAUCUAAAGCACUUGAGGCUUUUUGACCACAAAAUAUAUUGGUUUAAAUUAAUACAGAAUUGUGUCAUCCAUUCCUAUUAAUUUCUCCUUUUUCCUCACAUUGUCAUUGCAAUCCUCCAUAAGUUCUGGUCGCAGUUUAGGCAAAUUUUCCAGCCAGUCUCUGAUAGAGUUUGUAUUUAAAACCUUGGGAGAUGUUUAUUCUUCAUGGAAAAAUGAAAUAUGAAGUAGCAAAUGUUCCCAGUCUCAAAAAUAAAGGAAGUUGAAAUGCUC
Molecule: long non-coding RNA, 1153 nt
Organism: Catharus ustulatus (Swainson's thrush)
Lineage: Eukaryota; Metazoa; Chordata; Aves; Passeriformes; Turdidae
Exons: 2
Source: RefSeq, a predicted model, not a curated record